Molecule: long non-coding RNA, 329 nt
Filed under: Homo sapiens (human)
Lineage: Eukaryota; Metazoa; Chordata; Mammalia; Primates; Hominidae
Description: HSALNT0117996
Source: RNAcentral
AAAAAAAUGCAUCCCCUCAUCCUGAUGACGAGAAAAUACCAGACAAACCCAAACAGGAAGAUUCUACACAAUACCUGGCCAGUGCUCUGGACAUGUCAAGGUCAUGAAAGGCAAGGAAAGAUCAAGGAGCUAUCAUGGACUGCAAGAGACCAAGGGGACACAAUGACUAAACACAAUGGGGGAUUCCAGGCCAGGAUCCAGCAGACAGGAGCGCGAGAGGAAGCAGCGGACAGGACGCGAGAGGAAGCAGCGGACAGGACGCGAGAGGAAGCAGCGGACAGGAGCGCAAGAGGAAAGGUGGAGUUUCACUCUUUUUGCCCUGGCCUGGA